This 126-nucleotide ribosomal RNA is filed under the name Cryptosporidium varanii. RNAcentral describes it as "partial 18S ribosomal RNA". The record is from RNAcentral. Lineage: Eukaryota; Apicomplexa; Conoidasida; Eucoccidiorida; Cryptosporidiidae.
CUCGUAGUUGGAUUUCUGUUAAUAAUUUAUAUAUAAUAUUACGGUAUUUAUAUAAUAUUAACAUAAUUCAUAUUACUUUAUUUUUAGAGUAUAUGAAAUUUUACUUUGAGAAAAUUAGAGUGCUUA